Molecule: non-coding RNA, 2772 nt
Organism: Phoenix dactylifera (date palm)
Lineage: Eukaryota; Viridiplantae; Streptophyta; Magnoliopsida; Arecales; Arecaceae
Source: RefSeq, a predicted model, not a curated record
GCUAGUCGGCCCCGGGUCAUCCUCUCAACCGGUUUCCUUCCAGCGUCCGAUAAAAUGGUCCGAGCAAAAGAUGAUCCAUUCCCCCGCUGGUGAGAGAGAGAGAGAGAGAUUAGGGUUGCGAUCCUCCCCUUUCUAAGCUUUCUUCCUUCCAGCCCGGGAUUCGUCGUUGUCGGCUGGAGGAAUAAAUCUCUUUCCCUCUUCUCCUUCCUUCUGCUGCGGCGUGGCCCACGAGGAGGAGGAGGAGGAGGAAUAGGCCUCCGAUGUUAGUUUCUGCGGCUUCUCUUCCGGCGGGCUCUCUGCCCGCCGGAUUUCGAACACGCCGCGCGGACGUAUGAGCAUGAGGUGUCCAAAAUACGAGGCCGGUGAACUCUUCUGGACCCCCACCUUCAAUCUUUUUUCUUUUUGCCCUUUCUCUCUCUCUCUCUCUUGUUUGGGAAUUGCGUCCUUGUUUGGGUUUGCAUGGGAGCUUUUCCUGGGGUUGCUCCCUUCGAAUUCGGCCAGGUGUUCUAAUCUCGCAAGCAAUUUCUUUCUUUUGUUCUUUUCUUUCUUUGGUUCUUUUCUUUUCUUUUCCCUCCAAAGAUUUCCCCCUUUUCUGCUAGGACUGUGCUCCGUUUGAUUCGUUAAACAUUUCGUUCUAUCUCCUCGGUCCCGUUCGUCCUUCCAUUCCGUUCUAUUCCCUUCGAUUGUCGUUGGAAUGUCCGGGAAUCGCGCUGCCGCUGGUUUGGAUUGGGAUUAUUUGUGGAACUGGUCAAGGUUUGCUCGAUUUCUUGAUGGAUACCUGCUUCUUGUAUGAGAUUCUUGGAAGUACUUUCUCAGGACUUUCUUAUGCUGGCUCGCUCGGUCUUAUCAUAGGUUUUGUCUGAUUCAUGUAUGGGAAAGUUGGAUCUUAAUCUCGUUCUUUGACAAUUCAUUCAUGAUCAACGCGAUAUCCGUUAGCGAUAUUCUGGUUUCUGCUGUGCUAACAGGGUUUGGCCUUUCCUUUUUUUUCUCUCUUUUUUUUUAAAAAAAAUAAGAAAAUGCGCAAUGUGAUUCUGGAAACUGUAUUGUUACCAUCUACCUUCUGCCAUUGUUUCAUUAACAAUCUAUAUUAUUAUUUUUAUUUUGAAAAAAAAGCUUGCUUGCUGGAGCGGUAAUAAUAAAUAAGAACUUUUGCUGCCAAAGUGCAGUGCACAUGAAGAAAGGCUUAACAAAAAAGGGCAAAUUGGCUUCAUGGAUGCAUGUAAUUCUUCACGAAUCCAUUCCCUGGUGGUAAAUUGGCCACUCAAAUUUUGUCACCUAUAUCUUUUCUUCUUUUAGCUGGGAAUAAUAGUUAAUUUUUGUGGUCAAUAUUUUGAAAAGAUGGUAUGAAUGGAUUUUAUACGCCAGAGUUUUGUAUGUUGAAUUAUUUUGUGUUCAAUAUUGUGCUUAUAUUUCUAAAAUUUUAUUUUGUGGCUCUCAGCUUGUUUUUGGAUGAGAUGCUUUGUUGUCUUUUCAUUCUUUUUUUUUUUCAAACAUUGUUAUGGAUUAUUCUCCUACUGGUGCAAGUUGCAACUUCUAUUAUUGCACAUACUUCGCACUCCUUCCUUCUGCUGUCUUUUUUGCCAGUUCUUAAUCAUUAUUCGUAUGAAGUGUUUUCUGCCUUUUUAUUUGUGUAGAUAUAGCUGGACAGGAAGCAAAGGAAUGACAUGGACUUACAUAUUUGCCAUGUUAGUGAUAGUUCUUUCAUUGGUUCUGCUUCAUCUCCUGUUUCUUCCGAUGAAGAUGAUUUCUUCCAGUGUGAUAGCAUUGUUAGGAAUUGGGCCGAUUCUUCAAGUGAAAGUGGAAUCAGAGAAGAUUUAAUCAACUCUAAAGGAUCUGUUAUUCUUUUUACAUGUCCCAGGAUUGAGGGUUGGACAUAUUUCUGCUGGUAAAUAGUUCUGGCAUUGUUGUUGGUGGCAGUAGUCUCUCUCUCUCUCUCUCUCACAGUUUCGUGGGAAAGCUUUACACAAGUGCUCAAGAAAGUCUGCACUCCUAUGACAAAUUGCAUUUUGAUCCAAGGCUCUGAGCUGAAUGAAGGCACAAAAGCAAAUAUCUGUGAUUCAUCUGAUUGUUGGUGCUCAUCAUGAAUGCAGUAGGGUUGACAAACAACUCUUGUUUAGUAGAAUCACAUGAGGUGGGGCAUUGUGUGCGGAAACACUAGAACUGGGCCAUUUGUACUCUAGAUUGCUAAGGUACACAAAAAUUAAAACCUUGGAUAAUGCCUUGAAUUGUGCACUUCAUUUUUUGUUGAUCAAAGAACAAGUGAGCAGCUUAUGAAUCCUAUAUUGGAUCAUAUGUUAUAUGUUGGCCUUACUGAAGAUCACAAGAAAUCUGCUAUAGAUGUUUUGUCAAUAUGGUUGGUUCUCGAAGUUCUUUCCCAAUCGGAGGCCUUAAAUAUGGAGCAGGAGGAUACUACCGAAUUGAACCUCUUUUCCAGAUCCUGAAGGCUGAAGCUGAUGGAUCAAAUCAGGUUCAGCGUGGCACCAACAGCAAACAAGCCGGCGAGAUUCCCUCUCACGAAUGUUGAACGAGAAAAAGAAAAUGGAGCCCCACUGCCAUAAUUAAAUUUCUUUGAAGUUUCGGUACUCAUUUUGUACGAUUAUAAUAUGGACUUGAUAUCUAUUGCCUAUCCUUCAUUAGAGGAAUAGCCUUACUGUUUUCUCAUCUUUAUUUCUGUCCUCUUUCCUGUUUAGCUGCUAUUUAUUUUCACCUAUAUCAGAUGACAGUCAGUAAGCUGUGGAAACUUAUGAAGCAUGCAUUUCGACUUUCUGAAAA